This 253-nucleotide ribosomal RNA is filed under the name uncultured bacterium. RNAcentral's name for it is "partial 16S ribosomal RNA". It matches the Rfam family "Bacterial small subunit ribosomal RNA", at positions 524 to 776 of the family's 1533-position model. The record is from RNAcentral.
UACGUAGGGUGCGAGCGUUGUCCGGAUUUACUGGGCGUAAAGGGCGCGUAGGCGGCCUAGCAAGUCACUUGUGAAAUCUCCGGGCUUAACUCGGAACUGCCAAGUGAAACUGCUGGGCUAGAGUGCAGAAGGGGCAAUCGGAAUUCUUGGUGUAGCGGUGAAAUGCGUAGAUAUCAAGAGGAACACCUGAGGUGAAGACGGGUUGCUGGGCUGACACUGACGCUGAGGCGCGAAAGCCAGGGGAGCAAACGGG